Molecule: transfer RNA, 72 nt
Filed under: Camelus bactrianus (Bactrian camel)
Lineage: Eukaryota; Metazoa; Chordata; Mammalia; Artiodactyla; Camelidae
Also listed under: 3 other names
Rfam family: tRNA
About the family: Transfer RNA (tRNA) molecules are approximately 80 nucleotides in length. Their secondary structure includes four short double-helical elements and three loops (D, anti-codon, and T loops).
Source: Rfam by way of RNAcentral
GAGGGUAUAGCUCAGUGGUAGAGUGCGUGCUUAGCAUGCACAAGGUCCUGGGUUCCAUCCCCAGUACUUCUG